RNAcentral lists this ribosomal RNA (492 nucleotides) under uncultured bacterium. RNAcentral's name for it is "partial 16S ribosomal RNA". It matches the Rfam family "Bacterial small subunit ribosomal RNA", at positions 28 to 507 of the family's 1533-position model. The record is from RNAcentral.
GAUGAACGCUGGCGGCGUGCCUAACACAUGCAAGUCGAACGGAAAGACAGUGAGAGCGUGCUCUUACGGGUGGCGGGGGGCGGGCGGGUAACGCGUGCAUCCGCACCUUCUUUUUCGGGGGUCAUAACGGAAGGCAGGUUACAAUACUACAGCAUAUGAUGUACCGGUGGGAGCAACGGAUAUUGGCGGCUUUCGCGAUUGAAUUAGCCGAGGCCGGAUUAGCUGGUUGGGGGGGUAACGGACCACCAAGGCGAGGAUACGUAGCCUGACUGAGAGGAUGAUCGGCCACACUGGAACUGAGACACGGUCCAGACUCCUACGGGAGGCAGCAGUGGGGAAUAUUAGACAAUGGGCGCAAGCCUGACGCAGCAAGACCGCGUGGGUGAAGAAGGCCUUCGGGUCGUAAAGCCCUGUUGUUGGGAAAGAAAAGCUGUAGAUUUAGACCCGGCGGUUCUGACGGUACCUAAUCAAUAAGCACCGGCUAACUACGUG